This 489-nucleotide long non-coding RNA is filed under the name Polistes fuscatus (common paper wasp). RNAcentral describes it as "uncharacterized LOC122517511". The record is from RNAcentral. Lineage: Eukaryota; Metazoa; Arthropoda; Insecta; Hymenoptera; Vespidae.
GUUCAUCGAUCGACCACGUACGAGUUGUAAGUAAAUGUAAUUUUCGCACGUAGAGCCGAAAAUUUCCUUAACGUAUACUAUACUUCGUAACAUUCACACGGAACUGUUAAAAAUCUUUUCUCCCACGCAAUGCAGCCCAACGCAACUCAAUGCAACGCAAUGCAACUCAAGGCAAGGCAAGGUUAAAGCGAACAAGCUCACGCUUUUCCAGCGUGACACGUACGUGAGCUCGUACAAAUGUCAUCGACCUUGCCCAUUGCCCGCCAAUUUUCCGGAGGAAGAAAGAUAUUAUUCUUACUCAACCGUACAAAAAAUACCUCCGCGUAAAGGAUGCACGCGUGAAGAGCACACGCACUGUUCUUAUCCCGCUCGGCGAAGCUCACCAUGGGAAAAGGAGGAGGGUCGAGCCCUUCCUCUUCUAAAACUACCGGAUCGAUCGAUUUCGUUCUGUAACAACUGAAACAAAAAAAUUAACAAAAACAAAACCAA